This 472-nucleotide ribosomal RNA is filed under the name uncultured organism. Its description in RNAcentral is "partial 16S ribosomal RNA". It matches the Rfam family "Bacterial small subunit ribosomal RNA", at positions 332 to 796 of the family's 1533-position model. The record is from RNAcentral.
UACACUCCUGCGGGAGGCAGCAGUGGGGAAUAUUGCACAAUGGGCGCAAGCCUGAUGCAGCCAUGCCGCGUGUAUGAAGAAGGCCUUCGGGUUGUAAAGUACUUUCAGCGGGGAGGAAGGCGAUAAGGUUAAUAACCUUGUCGAUUGACGUUACCCGCAGAAGAAGCACCGGCUAACUCCGUGCCAGCAGCCGCGGUAAUACGGAGGGUGCAAGCGUUAAUCGGAAUUACUGGGCGUAAAGCGCACGCAGGCGGUCUGUCAAGUCUGAUGUGAAAUCCCCGGGCUCAACCUGGGAACUGCAUUCGAAACUGGCAGGCUAGAGUCUUGUAGAGGGGGGUAGAAUUCCAGGUGUAGCGGUGAAAUGCGUAGAGAUCUGGAGGAAUACCGGUGGCGAAGGCGGCCCCCUGGACAAAGACUGACGCUCAGGUGCGAAAGCGUGGGGAGCAAACAGGAUUAGAAACCCUGGUAGUCC